CCCUUAGAUGUUCUGGGCCGCACACGCGCUUCACUGAAGGAGGCAGCGUGUACUCCUGGAUCGAAAGAUUUGGGUAACCCGCGAAUCUCCUUCGUGCUAGGGAUUGAGGUUUGCAAUUAUCCUUCAUGAACGAGGAAUUCCCAGUAAGUGCAAGUCAUAAGCUUGCGCUGACUACGUCCCUGCCCUUUGUACACGCCGCCCGUCGCUACUACCGAUUGAAUGAUUUAGUGAGGACUUCGGACUGGGACCGAUGCGGCUUUCGGGCUGCGUCGGUAUUCUGGAAAGAUGUCCAAACUGUAUCAUUUAGAGGAAGUAAAAGUCGUAACA
RNAcentral lists this ribosomal RNA (327 nucleotides) under uncultured eukaryote. RNAcentral's name for it is "partial 18S ribosomal RNA". It matches the Rfam family "Eukaryotic small subunit ribosomal RNA", at positions 1470 to 1796 of the family's 1831-position model. The record is from RNAcentral.